Eriocheir sinensis (Chinese mitten crab) is the source of this 1598-nucleotide RNA transcript. RefSeq lists it as uncharacterized. The transcript is spliced from 6 exons. The record is from RefSeq and is a predicted model, not a curated record. NCBI's taxonomy places the organism in Eukaryota, Metazoa, Arthropoda, Malacostraca, Decapoda, Varunidae.
AUAUAUACCACAAAUAAUGAGACUAAAACAUUGCCCUGGGGUACUCCACUUGUCUUUCCCAUCAAAAAUUGUAACAUUCACUUGUACUGUCUGCUUGAUAGGUCUCAAAUAAAGGAACAAGACUUCAGACAAAAGCCAGAUUGGUGAGGAUCAUUGUGCUGGAACAUCAUCAUCAUUUCAUAGACGCCUGCUCCUAGGAGCUGCCACCAGGGGACGGCCACGGCAGAAGAGUUUCCAACUGUAACGCAUCACAGCAAUGCUAGGGAUGCUAACACAGGCCUCCCCACAGAGUAGCAGAGGGCAGAGGGCGGCGUGCGGCCCUGCAUUGCAUCAAAUCAGCUGCCCCAUCACGGCCAUGCCCACGCCCGUCAUUCUGGGCCAAGGAGAACCUCGGGUGGCAGGCAGCAUAGCGGGGGAGGCGGCGGUGCCAGGCCAGGAGGAAUUUGGCGAUGACAUUUACCGUCUGGCGAGGGAGCAGCCGUGGGUGGUGGCAGCAACUCAUCGAGCGGCGUGGAGGAGGGAGCCGCCAGGGUGGACCACGCCUACAGCCUGCACGUCACCGCCCGCCAUGCACUAAGGGCUGUGGGCGUGCAUGACCGCCAACCAAAGACUCAGCCCAGAGGAAGAGCCAGGCCAGCACCACCACAGGGACAGAGGACGAUGAGGAGAGUGUUCCAACGCUGCUCCAACUCAAGGUUCAUAGGCCACACGCUGAGCCCUGCCAAGAUGUCCUGCCAGGUGGUCGGCCUCCACCCCUACACCUCCCACUGGUUCCUCCUGCUGCCCCACUACAAGGAUGUGCCAAGUAUGCCCUCCAGCCUGCAGUCCUUGGAUGAUUGCAAGUAGCGUAAGUUAACAAAAGAGUAAAGUAACAGUUAAUGUCCGCAUGACAGAUGGAGUGAGGUGUGGGUGCAGUAAGGUGACAGGUUACUGGUGCGUGCCUAGUACCGCCGGUAAAACGAGGAUCAAGCCUCCACCUCACCCAUCACCCUCCGCGUGCCGUGGAUUAAGGCCAACCUUAACGUGUGCAUAUCUGGUGAGCUCUGGGACCACCCUGCCCUCCCUCACCCACAGGGAUGAGCUUAUCAAGGAGUGGGCGAAACCCUCCACACUCUGACCUGUGUGUUGGCCCGCCAUGUGUACGCCCUCGGCCUCAGCAGUCUGCCGCUGGAGCGCGUCGGUGAACGGCGACUCGUCAGGAGGGGCUUCACCAAGCGCUCCGGCCUGGAUGUUAGUGCUGAGUGUUGCCUCCCAGAUAGUGAAGUCGGUUAGUCUGAAUUGGUCUUAGAAAUCACUACGUUUACCUCAGUUUACUAAGGAGGAAAUUACACUGAAAUCUAGGCGUCCGGAUUCUGAUGUGCAGGGAUUUGUAAGGGAUGUGAGUGCCUGAGUGUUGCUGUUGGUGUCGUGGAAGUCCAGGAGUCUGAAUUGGUCUGAAAAAUCCCAGUAAAAUUUAUUUUUGCUAACGGGGAUUUUGUAAGCUGAAAUAUAGUUGUCCAAAUUCUGAAAUGCAGGAAAUUCAUAAAAGUAACAAGUGCCAGAGUGCUGGUAGUGAUUCAGUAACAGUCUGUCAGUACAAAUUCCAUUGCUCUGAAGAA